GCGAGAAGACUCAGUAAGGCAUACUCGGAGCCAAGUGGAGGUUACCUGUAGGCGGAAAAAGUUGAGCGACUGUUAUUUUUACCCCUUGUUAGAUCGAUAUUUGGCUUUGUAACAGCAUCGAGAAGUACUAUUAUAUGCACGAUUUCUUUUUCAAGGAUGGAGUUAAAAAGAAACUGGAGAAAAUAAAGAAGAAUCAUCUUUAUAUUUAUGCAACAAGAAAGAAAAAUGAAGCUACUCAUCUCAAAGCAUACUGGAGUCAAAGGAAUAAAACUAUACCUAAACAAAACCAUGUCAAUGAAGAAUUGGAAAACCAGAGCCUAUCAAGAAUUCACUGCAGCCAUCAAGAACUGAUUGAAAACGAAAUAACUUCCGGAGUGCAUGAAGUAGUGUACUAUGAAGAAAGCUAUCCGGCAAAGAAAAAAUUUAAACUUGAUAGCUGCAGUUAUCAAGUUCCGGAAGGUAGAGACUCACGAUGUCACCUUGGCAGCCAGGGAGUAAAAACGGCACAAGAAAUUUCUUCAAGAGAAAAUGACACAUCAGAUGAAGAGAAUAACUACUCUGUAACCAAUGUCCUGCACAAUGAAGAUGGGCAGUGUAUGUAAGUCCCUUAGCCCACUUUAAAAAUAAGUUAAUUACAAAGUGUUUUUAAUACAUGCUAUUUUUCUUUCUUCAACUAUUUCCUGAAAAAUUGUUUACUUUUUUUCCUUCGUAUCAUUUGCACACGGUCGGGUAGUUAUAAUAUUACACGAAACUAGACAUUCUUUCGAAACUAUAUUUCUAUCUAAAUAAAUCAAUAUAAAUAGUUAAAUGUUAUUGCUACUGUAAUGUGGCUCUUUCAGCUCUACAGCCAUGUCUUACACAGAAAUGCAACCGCCUCUGAAACUAUUUGAGAUGGAAGCAGGAUGUUCUUUCUGGUCAACCACCGAAGGAGCCAUUGACAUUCCAUAUGAGCUGGUGGACAGGAAUGAGCCAACUGUAGACAGUAGAUGUAUCAACAAUUCAGAGACAAGCAAUCAGGUUAGCUGAAUAACAAUUAUAUUGCUUUUAAUUAUAUUGACCUGUUAAAAAAUUACAGUUAAGUUAUAAUUUAACUUUACGAAUAUACUUCAAUUGAAAAAUUACACAACUACUCAAACUACAUAAAUGUUUUUAUCAGAAAUUUCACUAAAAACAGGGCAAAAAAAUGAAUACAGUAAAAAAUCUUAUCCCCAUUUAGUGACAAUAGACAGCAUAUUUUACUGACCUUACUUAAAAGUGAUACACCAUCCCCAGUUAAAACAUAAACAGCAUUCAUAAGAACACUGAUUUAAGCACUGAAAAUGUUUAUAUUGUAGCAAGACUUUUCAAAGUAUGCAUCAUACAUUGGACAAAAAACUAUUAAAGAUACUACAGAUACUAUAAGUACUUUUACUGCUAUCAAUAUUCCUGUUUUAUUC
Molecule: long non-coding RNA, 1436 nt
Organism: Bacillus rossius redtenbacheri
Lineage: Eukaryota; Metazoa; Arthropoda; Insecta; Phasmatodea; Bacillidae
Exons: 3
Source: RefSeq, a predicted model, not a curated record